AUUGAACGCUGGCGGCAUGCCUUACACAUGCAAGUCGAACGGCAGCACGGGUGCUUGCACCUGGUGGCGAGUGGCGAACGGGUGAGUAAUACAUCGGAACGUACCUUAUCGUCGGGGAUAACGCAGCGAAAGCUGUGCUAAUACCGCAUACGCCCUGAGGGGGAAAGCGGGGGAUCGCAAGACCUCGCGCGAUUAGAGCGGCCGAUGCCUGAUUAGCUAGUUGGUGGGGUAAAAGCCCACCAAGGCGACGAUCAGUAGCUGGUCUGAGAGGACGAUCAGCCACACUGGGACUGAGACACGGCCCAGACUCCUACGGGAGGCAGCAGUGGGGAAUGUUGGACAAUGGGGGCAACCCUGAUCCAGCAAUGCCGCGUGAGUGAAGAAGGCCUUCGGGUUGUAAAGCUCUUUUGUCAGGGAAGAAACACCGGCUCUAACACAGUCCGGGAAUGACGGUACCUGAAGAAUAAGCACCGGCUAACUACGUGCCAGCCGCCGCAGUAA
RNAcentral lists this ribosomal RNA (501 nucleotides) under uncultured bacterium. RNAcentral describes it as "partial 16S ribosomal RNA". It matches the Rfam family "Bacterial small subunit ribosomal RNA", at positions 29 to 523 of the family's 1533-position model. The record is from RNAcentral.